Molecule: ribosomal RNA, 304 nt
Filed under: uncultured bacterium
Lineage: Bacteria
Description: partial 16S ribosomal RNA
Rfam family: Bacterial small subunit ribosomal RNA
Source: RNAcentral
CAGCAGUCGCCACGGUAAUACAGAGGGUGCGAGCGUUAAUCGGAUUUACUGGGCGUAAAGCGUGCGUAGGCGGCUUCUUAAGUCGGAUGUGAAAUCCCUGAGCUUAACUUAGGAAUUGCAUUCGAUACUGGGAAGCUAGAGUAUGGGAGAGGAUGGUAGAAUUCCAGGUGUAGCGGUGAAAUGCGUAGAGAUCUGGAGGAAUACCGAUGGCCAAGGCAGCCAUCUGGCCUAAUACUGACGCUGAGGUACGAAAGCAUGGGGAGCAAACAGGAUUAGAUACCCGAGUAGUCCCUGUCUCUUAUAA